CAUAUGGCUUAUUGUAUCUGCAUAUGAGAUUCACCAGCUCCAUGUAUUUGUCUCUUUGCUAGCAGUUUUUCAUGUGCUCUACUGCAUCACAACCUUGGCUUUGGGAAGACACAAGGGGCUUAUGAUGAAGAAGAAUCUGCAGCAAGAGCAUAUGAUUUGGCAGGACUCAAGUAGUGGGGAACAUCAACUUUUACAAAUUUUCCGGUGUCUGCGUAUGAGAAUGAAAUUGAUGUAUUGAACACUAACAAAAAGAAGAGUACUUGGUCUCUCUAAGAAGGAGAAGCAGUGGCUUUUCAAGAGGUGUAUCCAAGUAUAGAGGAGUUGCAACUUGCAAGCUAAGCUUCAUAACUAAUUAAUGCUUUUGUUGGGUCUGUAUGUACUAUUCCCUAACUUCAGUUCAACAAUGCAAACUCUCUCUAUUCCCACUGAAUCUUA
This is a long non-coding RNA of Rosa chinensis, 435 nucleotides long. RefSeq lists it as uncharacterized. The record is from RefSeq and is a predicted model, not a curated record. NCBI's taxonomy places the organism in Eukaryota, Viridiplantae, Streptophyta, Magnoliopsida, Rosales, Rosaceae. The transcript has 3 exons.